CCCUUAGAUGUUCUGGGCCGCACGCGCGCUACACUGAUGCAUUCAACGAGUCUAAAACCUGGUCUGAGAGGGCUGGGUAAUCUUUUGAAAGUGCAUCGUGAUUGGGAUAGAUGAUUGCAAUUCUUCAUCUUCAACGAGGAAUGCCUAGUAAACGCAAGUCAUCAGCUUGCAUUGAUUACGUCCCUGCCCUUUGUACACACCGCCCGUCGCUCCUACCGAUUGAACGAUCCGAUGAAAACUGUGGAUUGAGAGUCUGAGUGGGUUCGCCUACCUCAACCUUCGAGAAGCGGUUUAAAUCUUAUCGUUUAGAGGAAGGAGAAGUCGUAACA
Molecule: ribosomal RNA, 329 nt
Filed under: uncultured eukaryote
Lineage: Eukaryota
Description: partial 18S ribosomal RNA
Rfam family: Eukaryotic small subunit ribosomal RNA
Source: RNAcentral